Molecule: ribosomal RNA, 1444 nt
Filed under: uncultured organism
Description: SSU rRNA
Rfam family: Bacterial small subunit ribosomal RNA
Source: RNAcentral
GCUCAGGAUGAACGCUAGCUACAGGCUUAACACAUGCAAGUCGAGGGGCAUCAGGAAGAAAGCUUGCUUUCUUUGCUGGCGACCGGCGCACGGGUGAGUAACACGUAUCCAACCUGCCCUUUACUCGGGGAUAGCCUUUCGAAAGAAAGAUUAAUACCCGAUAGCAUAAUGAUUCCGCAUGGUUUCAUUAUUAAAGGAUUCCGGUAAAGGAUGGGGAUGCGUUCCAUUAGGUUGUUGGUGAGGUAACGGCCCACCAAGCCUUCGAUGGAUAGGGGUUCUGAGAGGAAGGUCCCCCACAUUGGAACUGAGACACGGUCCAAACUCCUACGGGAGGCAGCAGUGAGGAAUAUUGGUCAAUGGGCGCUAGCCUGAACCAGCCAAGUAGCGUGAAGGAUGAAGGCUCUAUGGGUCGUAAACUUCUUUUAUAUAAGAAUAAAGUGCAGUAUGUAUACUGUUUUGUAUGUAUUAUAUGAAUAAGGAUCGGCUAACUCCGUGCCAGCAGCCGCGGUAAUACGGAGGAUCCGAGCGUUAUCCGGAUUUAUUGGGUUUAAAGGGAGCGUAGGUGGACUGGUAAGUCAGUUGUGAAAGUUUGCGGCUCAACCGUAAAAUUGCAGUUGAUACUGUCAGUCUUGAGUACAGUAGAGGUGGGCGGAAUUCGUGGUGUAGCGGUGAAAUGCUUAGAUAUCACGAAGAACUCCGAUUGCGAAGGCAGCUCACUGGACUGCAACUGACACUGAUGCUCGAAAGUGUGGGUAUCAAACAGGAUUAGAUACCCUGGUAGUCCACACAGUAAACGAUGAAUACUCGCUGUUUGCGAUAUACAGUAAGCGGCCAAGCGAAAGCAUUAAGUAUUCCACCUGGGGAGUACGCCGGCAACGGUGAAACUCAAAGGAAUUGACGGGGGCCCGCACAAGCGGAGGAACAUGUGGUUUAAUUCGAUGAUACGCGAGGAACCUUACCCGGGCUUAAAUUGCAGUGGAAUGAUGUGGAAACAUGUCAGUGAGCAAUCACCGCUGUGAAGGUGCUGCAUGGUUGUCGUCAGCUCGUGCCGUGAGGUGUCGGCUUAAGUGCCAUAACGAGCGCAACCCUUAUCUUUAGUUACUAACAGGUUAUGCUGAGGACUCUAGAGAGACUGCCGUCGUAAGAUGUGAGGAAGGUGGGGAUGACGUCAAAUCAGCACGGCCCUUACGUCCGGGGCUACACACGUGUUACAAUGGGGGGUACAGAAGGCAGCUAGCGGGUGACCGUAUGCUAAUCCCAAAAUCCUCUCUCAGUUCGGAUCGAAGUCUGCAACCCGACUUCGUGAAGCUGGAUUCGCUAGUAAUCGCGCAUCAGCCACGGCGCGGUGAAUACGUUCCCGGGCCUUGUACACACCGCCCGUCAAGCCAUGGGAGCCGGGGGUACCUGAAGUACGUAACCGCAAGGAUCGUCCUAGGGUAAAACU